UACGGCCGCUACUACCAGGGCUACCUACCGUCGUUGCCGCUCGAUCUCUACCUCUGAAACGAGUUCCACGGCCGGAUGUAGAAACCCCAAUUGUCCGGCUCGUACCGCGCCUUCCAGCACGAGUGGUUGCCAUGUGCCGUAUCGCCGUUGGGAAUAGGUGAGUACCUGGAUAGACUGAGGUAGAGAAGAAGGCGGUACCUAGCCUCGAGCUGGUACGGGCGACCACGGAAGCGUCAACAUCAUCUUUGAUCUCUCUCCCUCGCUCCCCCACGGACACAGCCUGCUACAGGACUGGUUGCGCCCAAGGUAGUAGCAGCUGCUCGACUGUGCGUUCUCUCCCCCCGUCGAUUUCCCUUUUCCUUUCGUCUCAAUGGAGCUUACGGAAGUCGGGUUAUGCGGGUAUCGGACACCCGGAAGCUCGCCGAUUGUUCGAGUCCGGGUAUAAGAGCUUCGAUGGAAGGAUCCCAAAGCGAAGAACAUUGGGGGGUCACGCGGGGGGAAAGAGGGUGAAGGGGGUGAGGGGUGGUGUUCUGGCGGCGGCGGCGUCCUCCUCCUCCUCUUCGUCGUCCGCGCUCUUCCUCUAGAGCGCUCCUCCGCUGGCUGGUACUCCCGGUUCGCUCGGCCGUCUAGAGCGGCAGAGCGCGAGCACGGGGGGCAACGACGACGCCGACGCUACCCCGCUCGCUGAGAUCGGCCAGGCCCUACCUUGCGCUCCACGGCGGGCUGCUGCGGACGCCGCCGCCGCUACCGCUACCGCCCCGUACAAAACAGAGCACACUGGAAUCUAGCUAACUACAUAGCAUACCCGAAUCCAUAGAGCACAAGGCCAAGAGGGCAUGGCACGAGCAGCACGAACGCGCGGGCACGCACCCAGCAGACAGAGUAAACCCAAAGGGACGGUGCCACUUCACCUUCUUCUUCGCGUACUCCUCCGACUUCUCCUUCGCGGCUUUCUACUCCGUCGCUAGGUUAACAUAGUCCUCAAAACGAUAGUACUGGUUAGAUAGCUUGGCAUACUUGAGACAAAACCUCGAAAUAAACGACGAUUAUGAGCCGGUAGUUCUAAAACUAGGGCCUACCGUCGGACCAGACUUACACACCUGUACCUAUGUAAGACGAAACCUACGAUAUUCAGGACGAAGAACU
Molecule: ribosomal RNA, 1146 nt
Filed under: Triticum aestivum (bread wheat)
Lineage: Eukaryota; Viridiplantae; Streptophyta; Magnoliopsida; Poales; Poaceae
Description: partial small subunit ribosomal RNA
Source: RNAcentral